GGUCCCGUAGCUCAGUUGGUAGAGCAACUGACUUUUAAUCAGUGGGUCGCAGGUUCGAUUCCUGCCGGGAUCA
Molecule: transfer RNA, 73 nt
Filed under: Rhodothermales bacterium
Lineage: Bacteria; Pseudomonadati; Rhodothermota; Rhodothermia; Rhodothermales
Also listed under: 2 other names
Description: tRNA-Lys
Rfam family: tRNA
About the family: Transfer RNA (tRNA) molecules are approximately 80 nucleotides in length. Their secondary structure includes four short double-helical elements and three loops (D, anti-codon, and T loops). Further hydrogen bonds mediate the characteristic L-shaped molecular structure. tRNAs have two regions of fundamental functional importance: the anti-codon, which is responsible for specific mRNA codon recognition, and the 3' end, to which the tRNAs corresponding amino acid is attached (by aminoacyl-tRNA synthetases). tRNAs cope with the degeneracy of the genetic code in two manners: having more than one tRNA (with a specific anti-codon) for a particular amino acid; and 'wobble' base-pairing, i.e. permitting non-standard base-pairing at the 3rd anti-codon position.
Source: RNAcentral